CUGCUAACAUGUUUAACCCCGCUACAUUAUUAAUGUGUGUGCCUGUCCCAAGUCAGGAGCCUGUGGUUGUCGUUUGUUUAUGGUUAUACAUAUUUGUUUUCCGUUCAUUUUUUUUUUUUUUUUUUUUGACAUAAAUAAGGCCGUUAGUUUUCUCGUUUGAAUUGUUUUACAUAGUCUUAUCGAGGCCUUUUGUAGCUGACUAUGCGGUAUGGAAUUUGCUCAUUGUUGAAGGCCAUACGGUGACCUAUAGUGGUUAAUGUCUGUGUCAUUUUGCUCUUUUUUGGAUAGUUGUCUCAUUGGCAAUCAUACCACAUCUUCUUUUUUAUAUUAUAUAAUUAGAUAUGACUAUAAUUGUUUAACAAUCAACACAUUAACUAGUUUUUAACAAUUUUGUGCUUGAUUGGUGUCGAUCCAAUUUAUCGGAUUUUUACAUUUUGUGUUAUGUUUGAUGCUAUACACUCUGAUGUUCUAGAUUGAAGCAACAAUAUGGUUAGAUCCCGCCACUAUCUUUAUGCGACUGUUAAUACUUUGACGCCCUUUAAACCUGUGAUGGCUGUUUUCUGACAUAUUUCUUUUCUUAAUAUUACUUUUAC
Molecule: long non-coding RNA, 593 nt
Filed under: Mytilus galloprovincialis (Mediterranean mussel)
Lineage: Eukaryota; Metazoa; Mollusca; Bivalvia; Mytilida; Mytilidae
Source: RNAcentral